RNAcentral lists this unclassified non-coding RNA (282 nucleotides) under Hevea brasiliensis (rubber tree). The record is from RNAcentral. Lineage: Eukaryota; Viridiplantae; Streptophyta; Magnoliopsida; Malpighiales; Euphorbiaceae.
AUUGAAUUGUAAUUAAGAAUUUCAUAAUCCAUGAUAAACCAUUUGCCUGGACCCAAGCCCCAAUUUUUUCCCAAAUCACAUGUGUCAGUGUAUCAAAGAAAGCUGCUGGAGUCGGGAACUCCCGUCAAAAAAGGCUGUCUGCCACCUUAGUUAAAGUCUAAAGGCAUUCGAUUUAAUUUGGAGUCAAGACAAGACUUAAAGUUGAGAGAUAUUAAAGAUAACAUUAAAAAUUUUGCAUCAUUGACAAAUAUUAAGCCAUCAACCUCAAAACCUUAAAUAAAA